RNAcentral lists this long non-coding RNA (214 nucleotides) under Callithrix jacchus (white-tufted-ear marmoset). Its description in RNAcentral is "lncRNA (ENSCJAG00000083161.1)". Lineage: Eukaryota; Metazoa; Chordata; Mammalia; Primates; Cebidae. The record is from RNAcentral.
CAGCCAGUGCUAAUGAAGUUUCAAGAGUACUUUUGGAGAGAACUGACAUCUUUAUAAUGUGAAGUCAAACACUCCAUGGAUAUAGAAAUCUCGACUGAAAUAAAAAAAAAAUACUUCUAGAAGUCACUGUGUAACUCUGUGGGAAGUCAGCAGUAGCUGAGGUAGAAGGAUGGCCAAUCUUAUUAAGCACUGCUUACAAUAGCAAAUACCUGGA